This 1363-nucleotide ribosomal RNA is filed under the name uncultured beta proteobacterium. Its description in RNAcentral is "16S ribosomal RNA". It matches the Rfam family "Bacterial small subunit ribosomal RNA", at positions 30 to 1391 of the family's 1533-position model. Lineage: Bacteria; Pseudomonadati; Pseudomonadota; Betaproteobacteria. The record is from RNAcentral.
UGAACGCUGGCGGCAUGCCUUACACAUGCAAGUCGAACGGCAGCACGGGUGCUUGCACCUGGUGGCGAGUGGCGAACGGGUGAGUAAUACAUCGGAACAUGUCCUGUAGUGGGGGAUAGCCCGGCGAAAGCCGGAUUAAUACCGCAUACGAUCUACGGAUGAAAGCGGGGGACCUUCGGGCCUCGCGCUAUAGGGUUGGCCGAUGGCUGAUUAGCUAGUUGGUGGGGUAAAGGCCUACCAAGGCGACGAUCAGUAGCUGGUCUGAGAGGACGACCAGCCACACUGGGACUGAGACACGGCCCAGACUCCUACGGGAGGCAGCAGUGGGGAAUUUUGGACAAUGGGCGAAAGCCUGAUCCAGCAAUGCCGCGUGUGUGAAGAAGGCCUUCGGGUUGUAAAGCACUUUUGUCCGGAAAGAAAUCCUUGGCUCUAAUACAGUCGGGGGAUGACGGUACCGGAAGAAUAAGCACCGGCUAACUACGUGCCAGCAGCCGCGGUAAUACGUAGGGUGCGAGCGUUAAUCGGAAUUACUGGGCGUAAAGCGUGCGCAGGCGGUUUGCUAAGACCGAUGUGAAAUCCCCGGGCUCAACCUGGGAACUGCAUUGGUGACUGGCAGGCUAGAGUAUGGCAGAGGGGGGUAGAAUUCCACGUGUAGCAGUGAAAUGCGUAGAGAUGUGGAGGAAUACCGAUGGCGAAGGCAGCCCCCUGGGCCAAUACUGACGCUCAUGCACGAAAGCGUGGGGGAGCAAACAGGAUUAGAUACCCUGGUAGUCCACGCCCUAAACGAUGUCAACUAGUUGUUGGGGAUUCAUUUCCUUAGUAACGUAGCUAACGCGUGAAGUUGACCGCCUGGGGAGUACGGUCGCAAGAUUAAAACUCAAAGGAAUUGACGGGGACCCGCACAAGCGGUGGAUGAUGUGGAUUAAUUCGAUGCAACGCGAAAAACCUUACCUACCCUUGACAUGGUCGGAAUCCCGCUGAGAGGUGGGAGUGCUCGAAAGAGAACCGGCGCACAGGUGCUGCAUGGCUGUCGUCAGCUCGUGUCGUGAGAUGUUGGGUUAAGUCCCGCAACGAGCGCAACCCUUGUCCUUAGUUGCUACGCAAGAGCACUCUAAGGAGACUGCCGGUGACAAACCGGAGGAAGGUGGGGAUGACGUCAAGUCCUCAUGGCCCUUAUGGGUAGGGCUUCACACGUCAUACAAUGGUCGGAACAGAGGGUUGCCAACCCGCGAGGGGGAGCUAAUCCCAGAAAACCGAUCGUAGUCCGGAUUGCACUCUGCAACUCGAGUGCAUGAAGCUGGAAUCGCUAGUAAUCGCGGAUCAGCAUGCCGCGGUGAAUACGUUCCCGGGUCUUGUACACACC